CGCUUGCCCUCCCCUCUUUUCACAGUUCCUAUAAAAGUGGAGACAGGGCUAGCAGCCAAAGAUAUUUAUAGAGCUGCCUUGUGCGGGUGGUGGUUUAUCCACCUUGUGGCUCUCCUCUCAGACAGAAGCUAUUGAGCUGAGUACCAGGGCUUCCCAUAAUCCCUAGCUCUUCAAGAACUUCUUGCCCUAACAAAGAUGUAAAAAAAAACUAAGAAGAUAGUCGUGUCCUUAUGUAUUCAGUAAGGGUUGCACACUUAAAGUUGCUGCUCAAAGACACUGAAUCACAACGUUGGACCCCCUGAAGAGGAAACAUUCUUCUAAAACCGACAGGUUGAGAGCUAGGGUAUGAACUUUCUUCCAUGAAAGUGAGUCUCAUUUAGAAGGAUAAUAGAGAACUAGUUGCACUCAAUGGAAGAUGCUUAUCUGGACAGAAGUGUCCACCUGCAUUUGGUCAAUGGAACAGAUGUCCAGCAUAGAAGAUAGAUAUUUUUUUCCAUUCCUGGGCCCAAAUUUGACCAAAAGCCAAGAAGAAGGUUACCUUGGGAUCUGCUUCACCUUUCUGUUUCAUAAAGUCCCAGGAAUCGCUAGACAGAUCCAUAAUAUAUUUACUGUAUAAGAGCCUCUGACUUGGUGGUUGUUGACUCUACAAUGGAUCGUACGGAGAAAAUAAAUCCAACAGUAUCAUACUGAAGUCUGCAUCAUAAACACUAAGCAACCCCUGGCUUUUUACGUUACGGUCGAAUAAACAGAAAUUAAAGAUAAAGGAAGAUAUUUUUCCAAUACAUUUCUUAGGAUUAAAACAUAUAAAGCAGAUUCCAAGAAACCCCUCGUGAUUUGGAUAUGGCGAAUAACAAUGUUAUAACGCACUUCAAGCAGAAGAUGAGCGCAGGAUCAUCCUGCUGUCAAUUCCUGUUAAUACCACUGAUCCUGGCUUAUUAGGGGAAUGGAGAAAAAAAUCUACUUCUGAGGCAAGAGAAGAAAUUCUAAGGACCUUGACUGUGAAAAAAAAACAUGUCUCCUGUAAAUAUCGUAAUAAGCACUGGAUAUUACCAAGAGCCUCAUAAAUAUUAUAAAAAUGAUACACAUUACAAGAGCACAGUAAAUAUAUGUAAAUCGUCUGAAUUAUCAGGGGCUUAAAUAAUGUUAAAAAAUUAAUAAUGACCCAAAGCUCUGCGUUUUACAAAAAAAAAACCCUCAUAAUU
Molecule: long non-coding RNA, 1202 nt
Organism: Xenopus laevis (African clawed frog)
Lineage: Eukaryota; Metazoa; Chordata; Amphibia; Anura; Pipidae
Exons: 5
Source: RefSeq, a predicted model, not a curated record